This 60-nucleotide transfer RNA is filed under the name Cycetogamasus diviortus. RNAcentral's name for it is "tRNA-Tyr". It matches the Rfam family "tRNA". From Rfam's summary of the family: Transfer RNA (tRNA) molecules are approximately 80 nucleotides in length. Their secondary structure includes four short double-helical elements and three loops (D, anti-codon, and T loops). Lineage: Eukaryota; Metazoa; Arthropoda; Arachnida; Mesostigmata; Parasitidae. The record is from RNAcentral.
AGUAAAAUGGCUGAUUAAAGCGAUAAAUUGUAAAUUUAUUUAUGAAUAAAUUCUUUUACU